AGAUUGAACGCUAGCGGGAUGCUUUACACAUGCAAGUCGAACGGCAGCGCGGACUUCGGUCUGGCGGCGAGUGGCGAACGGGUGAGUAAUAUAUCGGAACGUGCCCAGUAGCGGGGGAUAACUACGCGAAAGCGUGGCUAAUACCGCAUACGCCCUACGGGGAAAGGGGGGAUUCUUCGGGACCGUCGUCACUAUUGGACGCGGCCGAUAUCAGAUUAGCUAGUUGUGAGGUAAAGGCUCACCGAAGGCGAACGAUCUGUAGC
Molecule: ribosomal RNA, 263 nt
Filed under: uncultured soil bacterium
Lineage: Bacteria
Description: partial 16S ribosomal RNA
Rfam family: Bacterial small subunit ribosomal RNA
Source: RNAcentral